UAGCCGUAAACGAUACUCGCUAGGUGUCGGCCACGGUGCGACCGUUGUCGGUGCCGUAGGGAAGCCGUGAAGCGAGCCACCUGGGAAGUACGGCCGCAAGGCUGAAACUUAAAGGAAUUGGCGGGGGAGCACCACAACGGGUGGAGCUUGCGGUUUAAUUGGAUUCAACGCCGGACAACUCACCAGGAGCGACGGUUACAUGAAGGCCAGGCUGAUGACCUUGCCUGAUUUUCCGAGAGGAGGUGCAUGGCGUAGACGUCU
Molecule: ribosomal RNA, 261 nt
Filed under: uncultured archaeon
Lineage: Archaea
Description: partial 16S ribosomal RNA
Rfam family: Archaeal small subunit ribosomal RNA
Source: RNAcentral